Long non-coding RNA from Ornithodoros turicata, 2207 nucleotides. RefSeq lists it as uncharacterized. The record is from RefSeq and is a predicted model, not a curated record. The transcript is spliced from 4 exons. Lineage: Eukaryota; Metazoa; Arthropoda; Arachnida; Ixodida; Argasidae.
GUCAACGAAUGUUAUCAUAGGUUAUACGCGCGACUCCAGAGGCAAUUUGGAAUAUCGGCACGAAAUCGUCGGAUGAAAAUCUGAGGUGCCCGACGCACAACAUUUUGAACGUGCCACGGAGGAUCAAGGCAAAAAACGAGAGCAAAAAAGGUGCACGCUGAAGGCGGAAAUGAAGCAUGAUCUGGCUUGCAUCUGGUGCAUGAAGAAAUUGCUGGCACGUUAGUUGCAGUCUACCUCCACCAACAGGGUGGAAAACAAAGGUCGCCAUUCCGAUUAGCUGCUAUCUCCCAGUUCAAGCACUUUUGCUGUCUGGACACUGGUUCCUGUGGAUGGGCUGUUACAAGCUUCACUGUCUGAUAUAGAAGUGAUGAGCAUCCAUAAGGACACAUGGCAGAAAGGGAGUCUCUUUGAGAUGACAAACCCUCAUCACCUCAUGAGGAUACAAUGGUUGACGAAUGGUUCUCAAGUACAUCGAAACUUCAACAAAUAAUUCAUGAAAAAGCCAGUCAGUGCUAGCACCAGGAAUUGAACGUGGACCGUCCUGCUACCAGUCAGAGAUGUUACAUUUCAGGUGCUCAUUGACUUUUGGUGAAUUACUUGUUGACUUUGUCCCAAGGUGGAGCUCGCCACAGCUCAUUUGUCUAUCUGUUAAUGUUGUGGCGUGUGUUGCGUUUUUCUCUUUGUGUGUUCCAGACUCAGAACGGUAAAUUUGGAUCAGGUCAGGUACGUUUCAUUUAGACAUGGCAAACAUAAAGUGGUGUUUCUCAACACAACUUAGCAGUGGCCUUCAUGCAUUACUGCCACGGCCAUUAAGCGUGAAUGGAAGGCUGCACAUUAUGCAUGAUGUAAAACCCCAAGACUAGGAACAUGAAGGGACAAACACAAACACGUCCCUUUUUGUUCCCUAGUCACGGGGUUUUACAUAUGCAUCAUCUUCACCAGCUCACUUGCUUCCUAGCCAUUUUUUCUGCCACAUUAUGUUCACUCUACUUCUAUCGUGUGCUAUGUAAUCUUGUUCAAGUUCUGUCAAACGACGUGUAAUGCUAUAAAAACAUUCAGUACACUGUUUAUGUGGGUUGAAUGGUAGCGCAUAAAUGCAGAAAGGGAACUGUCAUGUUAUGGAAAGUGUUUACGUAUUGUACAUUUAACUACUAAUUUUAUUGGUUAGCUUUCGCCGGCAUAUGAUGUCAAGCCAUGUUAUAUUAAUUUGGAACAUGUUCUUCUUAGUAGCCAGAGCAGCUGACACACAUUGAGAACAUAGCCCGUGUGUGUUUGUCUUUUCCACCGCAGCCCUUGGGUUUCCUCCCUGAUGGCUACACAUGUCAGGGAUAGGUUUCAGAACCGGUAGUUCCCGCCAAUUGUGAAUUACUUUUCAGGGGAUCAUCACGCUGGCAGAUGAAACAUAUCGUUUAAAUUAUUUGCAGGACAGGAAUUGCGUAGCUUCACACAAAUACUACUACUACGACGUAAGAGUGGUUUCAAAUCUAGUUUUUUUGCAUUCCUGACAUUAUCGCACGAGAUGUAGUAUCCACUAUGAUCCUUUAUAUGAGGGGUAUGUACAGUGCAAUCAACAGAUGCUAUUUACAAAUCUGUGUUUUCUACUGUGUUGAAAUGGGGUAGUUUGUAUCUGAGAGAUAUAGUGAAACACAGGCAGCCAAGGACAGACUUUUGAUGCCCUCGAGAAACAUGGCAACACAUUGCAGGGAUUCUGGAUGCUGCAUAAAUUUCCAGAACACACAGCUCAAGGCAGCGGUUAAAUAACAAGUGGUUAGAGAAAUACAAGACAGUUGCAUGUGUAAGCAGUCUGCUGUUGGAUUUGCUUCUGUCUGAGAUACGUUAUCUCAAAGGGAACGCACGGACACACUCCGAAUGAUACUAGGGCUGCCUGUGAAAUAGAAUGAGGAGAGGGGAAGAUAUAUAACCCUUUUUUCUUGUCUGUUAUUCUAUUGGUUAACUUGUCAUUUGCUUAGCAGCAUAUAUGUGUAUAUUCCAGAGUCUGCUAAUAAAUAUAUCAGUUGAGAGCUAGCAGUCGCAUUGCAGAUGUCUCAUCCUGUCCUUGGCUGCUUGUGUUUCACUAUGGCCAUGCUUGCUAUUGCAAAAACAGAAAACAAAAAAAGACAAUAGAAAAACACGAAAAGAGCGACCUAAAAAGCUGCCUGUGCUAGUGCUCACAUGGAGGGAAUGCAAUGAGGUAGCAUGUUCCAUUC